Long non-coding RNA from Peromyscus eremicus (cactus mouse), 540 nucleotides. RefSeq lists it as uncharacterized. NCBI's taxonomy places the organism in Eukaryota, Metazoa, Chordata, Mammalia, Rodentia, Cricetidae. The record is from RefSeq and is a predicted model, not a curated record. The transcript has 2 exons.
AAGUCUACUUCUUUUGCAGGUGCCAUACAUACUCAGGUCUCUUCUGGUACCCUCAUCACAUUGCCUCAUCAUUUCCAAUACCGUAUUUGCCUCAUUCUUUCAUGAUACAACAGCGGCACAUCAGGAGAUCGGUUGCGUUUUGAAGAGCCUCCUGGCUUGUCCACAGGAGUGUUUGACUGCCAGUUUCUCUGCCAGGCCUUCUGUGAGGUGCUGAUGUGAUACCGUGAUACCACAUAAGCCAUGUUGGUUCCAGGUGGGAAAAAAUUAUUCUUCAAUAUUCGUAAGAAUGAGCUUGGAUAAAAGACACAAAUGAAGUCCAGACCAAGUACAAAACCACGGGCUCCUUCUCCUGGCUGCUCGGCGAACGCAGUCUUGUCUGAGAGGUGAUGGCUAUCUCCACAGCCAGCCACCGCUCAGACUUCGAAUUACAGUAAUUAUGACAAUUUGUGCCAAUAGCCAUGAGGUAGGAUUUUUGAUGUGGUUAAAAAUAACAUCUGUAAAACCCAAUAAAAAUUACAUUCUGCUAAUUUUCUGAUAAGA